GUGGAACCUCAUCCUUCAAGCUUCAAUUUGGUACGGCAAGAGUUACUCUUUUUAUUAACGCCGUUAAGACUCCGUUGGGAGCAGUUUGCAUUGGUUUAACAGCUGUCAAAAUUUCUGUGUCAAGGAAUUAUUGGAUUGGACCACAGAAGAUGUGAUAGUCCAGGAGCAGGGGAAUAGUUUCUCUAUUGAAGCGGGAAGACCGAAAGAUCAUAAAAUGAACAAACGGCAUACAUAUAACAUAAAAAUCACCUCCUUCAGCAAGCGUGAUCUCGCUCUCUCUUCCUUUUUCACCUAUGGCUCGAAACAAGGAAGCGUUGCUUUUGCUGCUUGAUGUGGGCCCAUCCAUGCAUUCUGUUCUUCAUGUAAUUGAGAGAGUCUGCUCCAUGUUUGUACAAAAGAAGGAACAAACCAGCAACAAUACAGACAGCAAGCAGGCACAAGUGACAUUAUGCAGCAAGCAGACAGGGUGCUUGACACGAAUCAGAGGCCUAAAAGGAAAACCACUAAGCCUCAGCACCUCAAGGAUUUUGUAUAAACAAUCCUUGCAAAGCGUGCUGAGCUGGCAAGACCUUAUUGGCCACAGAAACAUAGACUGUCUGCCAUUUAUCUUUUUUCUGUUAUGGUUUAUUCCUUUUCUGUUGUUGAAGAUUCCACUAAGGCCGGUAGUGCCAUUCUUGUUAGAAAUCUGUUAGAACCUUUUGUCUCUGUAAGUAGCUGCAGUGCCUAUAAGAAUGAAUGAUGUAUCGUGAUGAAGCAAGCAGAAAAUAAAACUUCCCUUUCUUACCUUCUUCUCUGGAGGUUCCUAGACCUCGAAUGCUAGGAAUUACUAAAUUGUUCUUGUUUUUAUCCCUGAUCAUAUCACCUUGACUUUGAUGUUAGUUCUUGAUGUUGUCAUUGUUGGCGUGGAUAUGUUAAUAAAAAAAUUUGGAAUGACAAACAAGGGAAAGAAACGUCUCUGUCUUAUUACAAAUGCCCUAUGUCCAUCAAAAGAAUCUGAUGAAGGAACAAAGGAAGAGCAAGUUACCACCAUUGCCAAACAAAUGACUGCCCAUGGUAUGAAAAUGGAAAGUAUAAUUCUGAGAGGAAAGUUCAGUAUGGCUGCCUAUUGGUAUGAAAAUGAACGCUUGUUAGAUAUUUUUUCAAAGGAAACAUCAACAAGAUUGUCGUGUGUGGAGAAUCCAGUUUCUUUGUUUGGUGCUCUUAAAACAAGAAAUAUAACUCCAGCUGCAGUUUUCAAAGGGGAUCUUGAAUUCAGUCCAAAACUGAGGAUUAAGGU
Long non-coding RNA from Glycine soja, 1276 nucleotides. RefSeq lists it as uncharacterized. NCBI's taxonomy places the organism in Eukaryota, Viridiplantae, Streptophyta, Magnoliopsida, Fabales, Fabaceae. The record is from RefSeq and is a predicted model, not a curated record. The transcript is spliced from 3 exons.